CCUACGGGUGGCAGCAGUGGGGGAUAUUGGACAAUGGGGGGAACCCUGAUCCAGCGACGCCGCGUGAGUGAAGAAGUAGCUCGGUAUGUAAAGCUCUAUCAGCAGGGAAGAAGAAAUGACGGUACCUGAGUAAGAAGCCCCGGCUAACUACGUGACAGGAGCCGCGGUAAUGCGUAGGGGGAAAGCGGUAGCCGGAAUUACGGGGUGUAAAGGGGGGGUAGUAGGUGAAGUAAGACUGAGUUGAAUGGCGGGGGUCCAACACCCCGACUGCUCUGGAAACUGUGUGACGGGAGUGCAGGAGAGGUGAGCGGAAUUGCUAGUGUAGCGGUGAAAUGCGUAGAUAUUAGGAGGAACACCAAUGGCGAAGGCAGCUCACUGGGCUGUAACUGACGUUGAGGCUCGAAAGCGUGGGGAGCAAACAGGAUUAGAUACCCGUGUAGUC
This 442-nucleotide ribosomal RNA is filed under the name uncultured bacterium. Its description in RNAcentral is "partial 16S ribosomal RNA". It matches the Rfam family "Bacterial small subunit ribosomal RNA", at positions 338 to 795 of the family's 1533-position model. The record is from RNAcentral.